RNAcentral lists this transfer RNA (91 nucleotides) under Kumanoa americana. Its description in RNAcentral is "tRNA-Ser". It matches the Rfam family "tRNA". Rfam says of the family: Transfer RNA (tRNA) molecules are approximately 80 nucleotides in length. Their secondary structure includes four short double-helical elements and three loops (D, anti-codon, and T loops). The record is from RNAcentral. Lineage: Eukaryota; Rhodophyta; Florideophyceae; Batrachospermales; Batrachospermaceae.
GGAGAGAUGGCUGAGUGGUCGAAAGCGGCAGAUUGCUAAUCUGUUGUACAUAUAUAUUAUUGUACCGAGGGUUCGAAUCCCUUUCUCUCCU